Molecule: ribosomal RNA, 110 nt
Filed under: Meriones unguiculatus (Mongolian gerbil)
Lineage: Eukaryota; Metazoa; Chordata; Mammalia; Rodentia; Muridae
Source: RNAcentral
ACUUAGAGCCAUACCAGCCUAAACAUACCUAAUCUCAUGUAAUCUUGGAAAUUCAACAGGAUCGGGCCUGGUCAGUACUUGAAUGAGAGAAUUAUAUAGGGCCAUCAUUA